This 429-nucleotide ribosomal RNA is filed under the name Bacillota bacterium. Its description in RNAcentral is "Firmicutes bacterium partial 16S ribosomal RNA". It matches the Rfam family "Bacterial small subunit ribosomal RNA", at positions 355 to 776 of the family's 1533-position model. The record is from RNAcentral. Lineage: Bacteria; Bacillati; Bacillota.
UAGGGAAUCUUCGGCAAUGGACGGAAGUCUGACCGAGCAACGCCGCGUGAGUGAAGAAGGUUUUCGGAUCGUAAAGCUCUGUUGUUAGAGAAGAACGUUGGUAGGAGUGGAAAAUCUACCAAGUGACGGUAACUAACCAGAAAGGGACGGCUAACUACGUGCCAGCAGCCGCGGUAAUACGUAGGUCCCGAGCGUUGUCCGGAUUUAUUGGGCGUAAAGCGAGCGCAGGCGGUUCUUUAAGUCUGAAGUUAAAGGCAGUGGCUUAACCAUUGUACGCUUUGGAAACUGGAGGAAUUGAGUGCAGAAGGGAAGAGUGGAAUUCCAUGUGUAGCGGUGAAAUGCGUAGAUAUAUGGAGGAACACCGGUGGCGAAAGCGGCUCUCUGGUCUGUAACUGACGCUGAGGCUCGAAAACGUGGGGAGCAAACAGG